This 1245-nucleotide long non-coding RNA is filed under the name Salmo salar (Atlantic salmon). RNAcentral describes it as "lncRNA (ENSSSAG00000093972.1)". Lineage: Eukaryota; Metazoa; Chordata; Actinopteri; Salmoniformes; Salmonidae. The record is from RNAcentral.
CAUUUUUUUAAAUCUGAUAUGUACUUUAUGGACAUUUCGAAAUUUACUGGGUGGGAGGGGCUGGUCCAACUCAAGGUGGUAUAAAAAAAUGCACUGCCCUUCCCAAAGUAAAACAUAUUUUGACAUGACACUCCCCUAUACUGUAAAAGAAUUUGAACAAAUUGCAAUAUUUUCAUAACCAUCUUUGUAGGCCAAUUUUGAACGUGGGAGCCAAAUGAACGGCUCUUACGGAGCCAAAUAUCCAGUCUAUUCCAGUGUUUCUCAAUCCUGGUCCUGGGGAUCCAAAGUGCACAUUUUUGUUUUUUGCAAGUAAACCAUGUAUUUGAUACCAUUCCAUUUAUUCUGCUCCAGCCAUUACGACAAGCCUGUCCUCAACUAAGGUGCCACCAACCACCUGUGAUCUGGACAUACCCUACGAUUGCAACUCUGUCAUUAAGUAGCCCUGCUUAUGGCUUUACAAAAUAUACACCUACAUUUUACAAUAUCACUGAUUUCCAGUGGAAGAACUCUCUCCAAACUCAAUAUACAAGAUAUACAAAUAAUACAUAAUCUGAAGAAAAGACUAAGAGACAAAAAUGGGUCAUGGACAAGCUGCAGUUUUUAUACCCCCACACAAAACACAGCAUCAAGAGAGGUCCAUCGUCAGAAGAUUAUUAUCCGGGUGACAGCAAUGACGGUGGUGGUGAGGUGCUGUCAGCGGUGGAGGUCCCACUGGACGAUGUAGAUUAUUUUGAUGGUGAGGAGACUGGUAAAACAAAACUCAACACUGCCGUUAGAAUAAGAAAAUAUGUAAGCAGCUGCUGAGGACCAACCCGUAAGGAGGAUGACAGUGCCGUGACAAGAAGCCUUUGAGAAGCAGCCUGUGAGGAGGAUGACAUUUCUCUUUACAUCACCCAUCUGGAGUGCAAACUGAGAAAACUACAAGAUCCAAGAGUUCUUCUGGAGAUUCAGAACCAAAUCAACCAAGCUUGUUUCCAGGCACUGAUCAGCCAGAUGCCUAAGAAGAACCACAAUGGACAAGGGUCCUCUUUCCAGUAAAGGUAACCUUGCCACUGACUUGCAUGUGCCUGCAUUGCACACAGACAAACUGAGCUGAUAGGCUUGUUAAAGCACCUUAAUGCAUUUUACGACAAAAGCAUUGGCAUUUUCUCAAGGCAGUACCUUUUUUAUUUUCUUAAAGAUGUGAUUUCUCAAACAUUUCACAUAUUCCUUGUCCUUCCUUUGUUAGCAGAGGUAUGAUUUUAG